GGAGAGGUGGCCGAGUGGUUGAAGGCAACGCAUUGCUAAUGCGUCAGACGGGGUAUACCUGUCUCAAGGGUUCGAAUCCCUUCCUCUCCG
This 90-nucleotide transfer RNA is filed under the name Phycisphaeraceae bacterium. Its description in RNAcentral is "tRNA-Ser". It matches the Rfam family "tRNA". From Rfam's summary of the family: Transfer RNA (tRNA) molecules are approximately 80 nucleotides in length. Their secondary structure includes four short double-helical elements and three loops (D, anti-codon, and T loops). Further hydrogen bonds mediate the characteristic L-shaped molecular structure. tRNAs have two regions of fundamental functional importance: the anti-codon, which is responsible for specific mRNA codon recognition, and the 3' end, to which the tRNAs corresponding amino acid is attached (by aminoacyl-tRNA synthetases). tRNAs cope with the degeneracy of the genetic code in two manners: having more than one tRNA (with a specific anti-codon) for a particular amino acid; and 'wobble' base-pairing, i.e. permitting non-standard base-pairing at the 3rd anti-codon position. RNAcentral also lists the same sequence under 2 other names. The record is from RNAcentral. Lineage: Bacteria; Pseudomonadati; Planctomycetota; Phycisphaerae; Phycisphaerales; Phycisphaeraceae.